This 116-nucleotide ribosomal RNA is filed under the name Kiritimatiellia bacterium. The record is from RNAcentral. Lineage: Bacteria; Pseudomonadati; Kiritimatiellota; Kiritimatiellia.
UCCGGUGGCCAUGGAGAGAAGGCAACACCCGUUCCCAUUCCGAACACGGCAGUGAAGGGUCUCUUCGGCGAGGGUACUGCGGGGGUUGCCCGUGGGAGAGUAGCGCGCCGCCGGAA